Molecule: long non-coding RNA, 499 nt
Filed under: Helianthus annuus (common sunflower)
Lineage: Eukaryota; Viridiplantae; Streptophyta; Magnoliopsida; Asterales; Asteraceae
Description: sRNA HanXRQr2_Chr05g0212211
Source: RNAcentral
UGGUACCAAACCCUACCCAUCCAAAAUAAAGCUCACCAGCCGACACCCUUUUCUUCCUCCCUCUCGGUUCCACUGUGCAACACAAAAAAAAAGAAGAACAGUUUUCAACUCUCUCUCUCUCUCUCCCUCGUCUUAAUACAGCCGGCUCCGGCAACCGGAGCCAACUCCGGCGACGAAACAAACAGCGGUGGUUGUUCCAGCCGCGACAUCCCCAAACACCUCACCCACUCCCCCCGACCUACGCGAUUCCGACACCACCCUCCGACGAAGAUUUGCGGCGGUGGCGAAGCUGGUUUCUCACGACAGUGGUGGGUUCAGUUUGGUGCGAGUUCGGGACUCCGGUCAACUUUUGCGACACGAUCGGUUCGGGUCAGAUUUCAUGUUCAGGGUAAUCGUUCGUUCUCUUGGUUUUCCCAAUCUCUACUCGUGCGUUAAUUCAAGAAAUUCUCAUACGUAACCAAUGUUGUUAGACAAGACGAUGAAGAAAUCAAGUUAGGAU